GUGGCUAAACACAAAGAGAAGAAGAAGACGCUAGAGGAACAAAACCCUAGCGAAGUAGAAGGCAAAAUGGGCGAAUCGAUUAAGAAGAAGUCGAAGAAGAAGAAGAAGGAGACGCAUACUGUGACAAUGGAAACCAUCGCUGAAAAUCCUAAUAAUAUUUCUCCGAUGGUUGGUUAUUUUCCAUCAGGUUAUGACCCUUUAAGGAACACAAAUGACGGUGUGGAGGAAUUGAGUACUAAGUUGUAUAGGAAUGUUAGAAGGAAUAAUCGGUUACAGGUUGUGGUGAGCCCUUAUGGGUCGCAGGUCGAUUUUGUUGGGACUAAUUAUUCUGGCGAGGCGACGUCUGCUCAGUUGUGUACUUAUUCGCUUGGGAUACUGGAUAAGGAAACUCAAACUCUCAAGAUUGUUCCUAUUGCAGCUAACAAGAUAAUUAGGUUGGAACCUAGAGUUAGAGGGUCAGAAGUACCGGAUGCUGAAGAUCCAGAUACUGCCAAGCAAGAACUCACUGCAGAAGAGAGGAAUGACAAAAUGAGAGAGUUAACUCAAAUGUACUCAUCAAAGAAGUCUAUACGGCAGGCUAGGAAGCUUGAUUCCCUGCGUCAACAAGAAGAUACUGGAAAUCAAGAGGAAUUUGACAGGAAUAUAGCUGGAGCAAUAAAUAAAGAGGCUCUUGAAGUAACUGUUGCAACAGACAGUGCUCGGAAUAUACCACCACAUGAUCUAGAUGCCACAAUACCCCAGUUGGCAUAUCCACUAGACAGAAUUAUUUCCAAAGGAGAGUGGGAUUUUCUUUUGGAUAUUUUUGAACUCACGGAAGCUGGAGCAGAAAUGACACCUGAUCUUUAUCCAAGCUUUGUUCGCAACAGAUCCUACAAAUUGGAACAUAUACAGGAUGAAGAUGAGAAGAAAAGGCUGGCAGGCAUACUUUCAUUCAUUACUCAUCUUGUUAAGUUCAAGGAUAAACAUUCUAUGGAUGGUGUAUCAUCGGCAAAGCAUCACAAGUUUCCUGGCAUCUUGUCCCAGAAGUUCACUUCAAUGUUUUCCAUUUCAGAUUCAAAAAGGCUGCCGGAAGAGAAAGUAACUCUUCUUAUCAACUAUGUGUUGGUUCUUACUCUCUUUGCUGAUGACUUUCGUAGUGAUCCAUCUGAUAUAGCCAAAGAUUUGAGAAUUAAUGCUGUAGCACUGCGGCCUUUCUAUGAGUACUUAGGUUGCAAGCUUGUUCGUGAGAAAAACAUUGUGUUGGCUACACUUCCUGUUCCGCUUGUAUUUCCAGGUGUAAGGAGGAAGAGAAGAAGGUAGAUUUGGUUUUAACAGGUAACCCUCAGACAUUGAGAGCCCAUGAACUACCAGCAUUCUCUGUUGUCAGUUUUGUCAUAUUUUUUUGCCAUCAAUUUUGAAUAUCUAUGAACUGAAAGUUGAAAACUUGAAUUUUGAUAUGAAAAUUUGUAGUGCAUGGUCUAUAUAUUACAUUUGAUUUGCAGUUUCUCCUGUUAAGAUAGUCAACACAAAAGAAUGAAACCUAGAACAC
This 1528-nucleotide unclassified non-coding RNA is filed under the name Hevea brasiliensis (rubber tree). The record is from RNAcentral. Lineage: Eukaryota; Viridiplantae; Streptophyta; Magnoliopsida; Malpighiales; Euphorbiaceae.